CAAAUUUAAACGAACAUUGUUCACAAAUGACUAAUAAAACCCUUGCCACUAAAGGGGUAACAAUUAUACAAAAUUUAGGUCGUUGAAGGAUCACCAAUCGUCUCACGAACAGAAUUAAUUAGUUAAUCCAAAAUACUCCAUUUGCACCACAACUCCGAAAUUCAACCAACACACAUGCUUAACGAACACUUGCAAUGACUAAAUCGAGUAAAAGCGAUAAACUAUACCUUCGUGAACUGAAAACCAAACAAAAAACGGAUUGAAAAAUAUUUACAAAAAAUUAAAAUAUGGAAUGCAAGGAUUGAAAGCACCAAACGCC
This 319-nucleotide long non-coding RNA is filed under the name Gossypium barbadense (sea-island cotton). RNAcentral's name for it is "long non-coding RNA (GBAR_LNC011209)". Lineage: Eukaryota; Viridiplantae; Streptophyta; Magnoliopsida; Malvales; Malvaceae. The record is from RNAcentral.